RNAcentral lists this ribosomal RNA (404 nucleotides) under uncultured prokaryote. Its description in RNAcentral is "bacterial SSU rRNA". It matches the Rfam family "Bacterial small subunit ribosomal RNA", at positions 355 to 774 of the family's 1533-position model. The record is from RNAcentral.
UGGGGAAUAUUGGGCAAUGGGGGCAACCCUGACCCAGCGACGCCGCGUGGAGGAAGAAGUUCUUCGGGACGUAAACUCCUGUUGUGUGGGAAGAAGCGAGUGACGGUACCACACGAGGAAGCCCCGGCAAACUACGUGCCAGCAGCCGCGGUAAUACGUAGGGGGCGAGCGUUGUCCGGAAUCACUGGGCGUAAAGGGCACGCAGGCGGACCGACAGGUCGUUUGUGAAAGGCGGGGGCUCAACCCUCGUUUGCGGACGAAACCGUUUGACUGGAGUACCGGAGAGGGGAGUGGAAUUCCCGGUGUAGCGAUGAAAUGCGUAGAUAUCGGGAGGAACACCAGUGGCGAAGGCGGCUUCCUGGCCGGAUACUGACGCUCAAGUGCGAAAGCUGGGGGAGCGAACG